GAUGAACGCUGGCGGCGUGCCUAAUACAUGCAAGUCGAGCGAACGGACGAGAAGCUUGCUUCUCUGAUGUUAGCGGCGGACGGGUGAGUAAAACGUGGAUAACCUACCUAUAAGACUGGGAUAACUUCGGGAAACCGGAGCUAAUACCGGAUAAUAUUUUGAACCGCAUGGUUCAAAAGUGAAAGACGGUCUUGCUGUCACUUAUAGAUGGAUCCGCGCUGCAUUAGCUAGUUGGUAAGGUAACGGCUUACCAAGGCAACGAUGCAUUGCCGACCUGAGAGGGUGAUCGGCCACACUGGAACUGAGACACGGUCCAGACUCCUACGGGAGGCAGCAGUAGGGAAUCUUCCGCAAUGGGCGAAAGCCUGACGGAGCAACGCCGCGUGAGUGAUGAAGGUCUUCGGAUCGUAAAACUCUGUUAUUAGGGAAGAACAUAUGUGUAAGUAACUGUGCACAUCUUGACGGUACCUAAUCAGAAAGCCACGGCUAACUACGUG
This 497-nucleotide ribosomal RNA is filed under the name uncultured bacterium. RNAcentral's name for it is "partial 16S ribosomal RNA". It matches the Rfam family "Bacterial small subunit ribosomal RNA", at positions 28 to 507 of the family's 1533-position model. The record is from RNAcentral.